UGAGAUUACAAUACAGAAAGGGAAGAGGAGGAGUCAGGACAGGAAGUGACAUCAGCUUCUAUUAUCAAGGCAUUUAAGAGAAGCACCCAUUUUGAUCAGGCAACUACAUUUAUAAACACAGAUAUGAGUAUAAACAAGACAAAUCAACAGUUUAGUAUGAAUUGAAACAGGACAUGUAAAUUGAACAGGGUAAAUUAUACACCUGUUACAUACAUCUAUAGAUUUAAAACGAGGAAAAGGUUUGUUACGGCACAUGCGAUGUGGGCGUGGCUAAAUGACGCUGAUGUGAAACGGAAUCCAGAGAUUCAUCGUGUUUUAUCUCCUGGUAGUCAAAGUUCAUCUCCUUCAGCCAGUCCUUCAUCUGCAUCCAGACCUGCUGUUUCUUCCAGUUCUGCUCCUUUAACCAUUUCUUCCUGGUGUUUUGAGUCACUCAGAGACUUGAUAUUAUUUUACCAUUUAUUUUUGUGGAUUUACUACUAUUAUAAUCUAUAGUUAUUUAUCAUUAGGUUGUUGUUUCAGACCCAAUUAGGAUCAUUUUUUUAAUCUUUGUACUUGAUUAUAUCUAUUGUUAAAUAACGUUUGUUAAUAUAUACAUUGAUGUGUAAUAUUGUAGCAUUUUCAGUAAUUAAAAAUAAAAUGUUUUAUUGUUUAUAGAA
This is a long non-coding RNA of Silurus meridionalis, 656 nucleotides long. RefSeq lists it as uncharacterized. Lineage: Eukaryota; Metazoa; Chordata; Actinopteri; Siluriformes; Siluridae. The record is from RefSeq and is a predicted model, not a curated record. The transcript has 2 exons.